ACCUAUAGUUUAGCAUCUUGGCCCUAUCCACGAUAGAUACAAUACGGUAGCGCGACUUAUGAGAAAGGCCUUUCAGCCAUCUUGGAUUUUGUAUGUAAACAAUCUGCAAUAUUUUGCAAUAUCUUUUUUUUUGCUCUUUGUGUGUGGUAUUGUUUUGGUGGUAAUAAGAGCAUUGAAAAGUUGAAAGCUCAAGAGAAUAAAUCGACUUUCGGUGUCGGUCGGUGAUGGAGGUAUUUUUCCCGCGUUUUGCAGUUAGAGACGUCGGUUAGUUAUUCGAUUAUGAUAUAAAUGGAUUUCUAGGAACUUCUUGCGAUUUGUUUUAUCGUCGAUAUUGUUCAGCUCAUAUAUUAUAGAAAAAAAACCCGAAGCUGUAACUGUAAAAAUAACCAUAAGCCACCGAUUAAUUUAUAAUUUACAGUUUACAAUUCUUCCGCAAGUGCAUUUAUUUCACAAUUGUGUAUAUGCGUGACCAUUAUAUUUAGUGAACAACUAAACGAAUGUCAAACAUUUGUACUUUACUUUUGCACGUAUGAAUCUAACGACGAGUAUAUCGACGAAUAAUAUAUGAAUCCGUUCAAUCCGGUGACAAAAGGACUAAAAUCAAAUAAGAAUAGUCCGAAAAUGAUAUUAUGCAUUAUAUUUAAUAAAUAUCCCACGCCACUGACAUUAAUUUAUACAUUUCAUUGAACAAUAUUCUAAAAUAGGAAAAAAAGUCACUUGUCCAAAAAAGUUACUCCUGUACGCGCGUCGGUGUCUCAGACCGAAGGGGGUGAAAAAGUGACAUACGUCCCCUUCGUACCAACUUAUACGAUACGCUAAACGAUUAUGAACAACGAAUGACGAAGU
Long non-coding RNA from Toxorhynchites rutilus septentrionalis, 846 nucleotides. RefSeq lists it as uncharacterized. The record is from RefSeq and is a predicted model, not a curated record. NCBI's taxonomy places the organism in Eukaryota, Metazoa, Arthropoda, Insecta, Diptera, Culicidae. The transcript is spliced from 3 exons.